UGAAGAUCAAUCGAUAAAGAUCGUAGAUCACAAAGCAUUAUUCGAUAAAACAUAGGGUUUUAGCUUUAUCUUCUCCAACCCUCUAUUCUAUCUCUCUCUAAACUUUAACCCUUGAAAUCAAAACUGUGUUAUGUCUUGGAUUUGUGUAUGAAAUAAACCAAAACCCUUGAUUGAAUCAGGUCGAAACCCUUGAAAUCAUUUGAAGAAGAAGAUGAAACCCUUGAACUGAAACUCAGAGCAUCCAAAUCAGUUUUUUAAAGAAGAUGAAACCGACUCUUCAGAAUGUUGAAAUCAUUUGAACCAACCAUCUUCAGAUCCAGAUUCAAGCGUGGAGUCUUUGAAGGAGUUCGAAGUUGCUCAUGGUCAUUGAUUCAACAUAGAUGUUGUGGAUUCGACGUCAAGCUGAUCAAUUUUGAGACAAAUGCGUUGGUGAAAGAGACAUGGAUUGUUAAAGACAAUUUUACAGAGUUUGGGGUUACUUGAUGCUCUUUGGUCAUUUUGAUGUUCAAUGGUUUGGCUUUGAAGUUUGGUGGUGGUUGGAACUUUUUUUUGCCAUGCCGUGUCAGUGAAGUGGAUCAUCCUACAGUUUUCAACACUUUUUGUGUACAUU
This is a non-coding RNA of Camellia sinensis, 610 nucleotides long. Lineage: Eukaryota; Viridiplantae; Streptophyta; Magnoliopsida; Ericales; Theaceae. The record is from RefSeq and is a predicted model, not a curated record.